Peromyscus leucopus (white-footed mouse) is the source of this 587-nucleotide long non-coding RNA. RefSeq lists it as uncharacterized. NCBI's taxonomy places the organism in Eukaryota, Metazoa, Chordata, Mammalia, Rodentia, Cricetidae. The transcript is spliced from 2 exons. The record is from RefSeq and is a predicted model, not a curated record.
CUUCCAGUCUGAGGAAACAGGACCAGCUGAGGAACUGGCGAGAACAGAACACACAGAAUUCCUUGCAGAUGCUGAGGUGUGCUCCCAUGAAAGGAAGAGAAAGACCACUUGGAGCCACUUCGGAUGACAAGGAAGAGGAUGUGCUGGUCCAACCGAAGAAACAUACUGCAGGGCCGGACACAUCAAGCAGGAUGUGUGGUUUCUGUGCCUGUGUCGACAAGCCUCAUCUUAGAAAACCCCAGAAGGCUGACCUCAAGUCCAGUGUGAGGAAUGCAACAGCGUCUGAGUAAGACCUGAGCAGGAAUGAUGUAGCCAUGCAUCACAGCAAGGUGUGUGACGGAGGCCAUUGCUGGGAAGUGGGGAAGGGUAUGGAGCUAAGCUACGAUGCUUCCAGAAGAGUCAGGAGUUCAAAGUCUGUCACGGCAGGAAGAAGCAACCAGCCUCGGCAGAGUACUGAGUGGAACUGUGAGAACAUAUAUGUGCUAUGUAAGCAUCCCCUGACUCCCCCCACCCCCCACCCCAUCUCUGGUUCUUUGCUAAGGCAAUCUAAGCAUGAACAAUCUUAACAUGAACAGCCAUGUGGAGAA